UGCAUCGGCCGGGAAUCGAACCUGGGCCACCUGCGUGGCUGGAGAGCAUUUUACCAUUGAACCACCGAUGC
This 71-nucleotide transfer RNA is filed under the name Cordylochernes scorpioides. RNAcentral describes it as "tRNA-Gly". Lineage: Eukaryota; Metazoa; Arthropoda; Arachnida; Pseudoscorpiones; Chernetidae. The record is from RNAcentral.